This 452-nucleotide ribosomal RNA is filed under the name uncultured bacterium. RNAcentral describes it as "SSU rRNA". It matches the Rfam family "Bacterial small subunit ribosomal RNA", at positions 26 to 518 of the family's 1533-position model. The record is from RNAcentral.
AGGAUAAACGCUGGCGGCGUGCCUAACACAUGCAAGUCGAACGUCCUACGCAAGUAGGGAGUGGCGGACGGGUGAGUAACACGUGGGCAAUCUACCUUUCGGUGAGGAAUACCGGCGAGAAAUCGCCGACAAUACCGCAUACGCUUCGCAAGAAGCAAAGUCGCAAGACGCCGGAGGAGGAGCCUGCGCCCGAUUAGCUUGUUGGUAAGGUAACGGCUUACCAAGGCGACGAUCGGUAGCUGGUCUGAGAGGAUGACCAGCCAGACUGGGACUGAGACACGGCCCAGACUCCUACGGGAGGCAGCAGUGGGAAUAUUGGACAAUGGGCGAAAGCCUGAUCCAGCAAUGCCGCGUGUGUGAAGAAGGUCUUCGGAUUGUAAAGCACUUUCGACGGGGACGAUAAUGACGGUACCCGUAGAAGAACGCCCGGCUAACUUCGUGCCAGCAGCCGC